UGCGAGUCGAGAGGGUUCGGCCCUCGGCAAACGGCUCAGUAACACGUGGGUAACCUACCCUCAGGACAGGGAUGACCCCGGAAAACUGGGGAUAAUACCUGAUAGGUGGAUAUGUCUGGAAUGACUUUCCGCUCAAAUGCUCUGGCGCCCGAGGAUGGGCCUGCGACCGAUUAGGUUGUUGGCGGUGUAAUGGACCACCAAGCCUGCGAUCGGUACGGGCGUUGAGAGACGUAGCCCGGAGAUGGGGACUGAGACACGGCCCCAGGCCCUACGGGGCGCAGCAGGCGCGAAAACUCCGCAAUACACGAAAGUGUGACGGGGGGACCCCAAGUGCUCUCGCGCAAGCGAGUGCUUUUGCGAAGUGUAAAUAGCUUUGCGAAUAAAGGCUGGGUAAGACCGGUGCCAGCCGCCGCGGUAACACCGGCAGCUUGAGUGGUGAUCAUUUUUAUUGGGCCUAAAGCGUCCGUAGCCGGUUUGGUAAGUCCUUGGGCAAAUCCUGUCGCUUAACGAUAGGAAUUCUGGGGAUACUGCCAGACUUGAGGCCGAGAGAGGUCGGAGGUACUUCAAGGGUAGCGGUGAAAUGUUAUAAUCCUUGGGGGACCACCAGUGGCGAAAGCGUCCGACUAGAGCGGGCCUGACGGUAAGGGACGAAAGCCAGGGGCGCGAACGGGAUUAGAUACCCCGGUAGUCCUGGCCGUAAACGCUGUG
Molecule: ribosomal RNA, 708 nt
Filed under: uncultured archaeon
Lineage: Archaea
Description: bacterial SSU rRNA
Rfam family: Archaeal small subunit ribosomal RNA
Source: RNAcentral